Molecule: transfer RNA, 72 nt
Filed under: Phrynosoma platyrhinos (Desert horned lizard)
Lineage: Eukaryota; Metazoa; Chordata; Lepidosauria; Squamata; Phrynosomatidae
Description: tRNA-OTHER
Rfam family: tRNA
About the family: Transfer RNA (tRNA) molecules are approximately 80 nucleotides in length.
Source: RNAcentral
GCCAGCAUGGUGUAGUGGUUUGAGUGCUGGACUGUGACUCUGAAGAUCAGGGUUCGAAUCCCUGUUCAGUCA